Molecule: long non-coding RNA, 229 nt
Filed under: Elaeis guineensis (African oil palm)
Lineage: Eukaryota; Viridiplantae; Streptophyta; Magnoliopsida; Arecales; Arecaceae
Description: long non-coding RNA (EGUI_LNC034775)
Source: RNAcentral
GAAGAAGGCCUGUGGAGAAUCGAAUCGUCAAGACCCGCUUUCAUACUAGGGCCUUUUCUUGACUUUUGACUGCGCUCGUCUCGCCCUAAAGAUUAGGAAAUUAUCUUACUGUAGGCCUAGACAAAGAGACUCUUCUUCUCCCUGCCGAUUGAUCCGAGCUCCCACUCUCCUCUCCUUAUCCAGUCGAGCCUCACUUCUGCUCUCCUCUUUGCGUGCUUUAUUCCCUUUC